AAGCUACCAAUUAGCUUAUGAAGGUUUCAUUAUUUCGGGUCAAAUGGUACUUUACCAUUCCCAUGAGUAUAUAUAUCGUAUAUGCACUCAAUGUAGUCAUAAGGAUUUUCAUUCUUAUUUCUUUCGAAUUAAGAGGUGUAACUCUAUGACAUAGUCAUAAAGUUCAAACCAUUCAACUGAGACGGUUUAUAAAUCCUUCUCGACUACCUUGGAGCUUUUGAUAUAGGAACUAGGUUGUUAUAUUUGUUGAUUAUUAUCUUGUCUCUCAAAGAACCCAUUCUUUGAGUUCUAUCUCUCGUUCAUUUGCUUUUAGGCAAAUCACAUUGUAGGAUUACAAUGAACUAUCCAACAAAACAACAUUUGUUAAUUGGUUUAUAGAAGCGAUAUCCAAAAGUUAAUUUAAGGAUAUCCUACAAGAUUGUUAUCAAACAAAUAUUGUUUAUAAAGCACACACACCCCAAAUCUUAAUAUGUUUUUAAGAUUUGUCUUUCUUUCCAACUACAUCUUAUGGAGUCAUGAAAAUAUUGGAAGAUCUUCUAAUUUACAAUCAUAUUGUUUUUAGAAGUAUAUAUCCUAUAUAUGGGUAAUUGAUAAUAUCCAACGAACUAAAUCUUUAUUCAAGUUCGUUCUUCUCCUAAUGGAGAAAUCUAUUAUCUUAUGAUGCUUCUUUCCUUGAUAUCUUUCAAG
Molecule: long non-coding RNA, 687 nt
Filed under: Malus domestica (apple)
Lineage: Eukaryota; Viridiplantae; Streptophyta; Magnoliopsida; Rosales; Rosaceae
Description: long non-coding RNA (MDOM_LNC005798)
Source: RNAcentral